Molecule: ribosomal RNA, 253 nt
Filed under: uncultured bacterium
Lineage: Bacteria
Description: partial 16S ribosomal RNA
Rfam family: Bacterial small subunit ribosomal RNA
Source: RNAcentral
UACAGAGGGGGCAAGCGUUGUUCGGAAUUACUGGGCGUAAAGGGCGCGUAGGCGGCCUUCUAAGUCGAACGUGAAAUCCCCGGGCUUAACCCGGGAACUGCGUCCGAUACUGGAAGGCUUGAAUCCGGGAGAGGGAUGCGGAAUUCCAGGUGUAGCGGUGAAAUGCGUAGAUAUCUGGAGGAACACCGGUGGCGAAGGCGGCAUCCUGGACCGGCACUGACGCUGAGGAGCGAAAGCCAGGGGAGCAAACGGG